CUAAAGUCUGUCAUAUCACCAUGGAAACGAGGCAGAAUGCUGCCUGGCUUGGUAAAUGCCACGGGACAUGCUAAUGUCUUUCCUUACAUUAUCCUGAGAGUUCAAAGGCCUAAGGACAAUGGACAUGGACUUCCUGGCUACCCCUAUGUUCCUCUAAAGAAACAAAGAUUUCAGUUUCCUGAAAAUCACCCAUCACACAAUAUUGAAUGGAUUCCUAGAACUCAGUGGGACAUCAAUUUUAGAUGAAGAAGAAAAGAAAGAAGAAAGGGUGAUGAUGGUGAACCAAGACUUUAAAGACUUGUGAUUUUAAAGGAAAUAUGUCCCUCAUCAGGAGGCAGAGAGUUGCUGAUUUUUAUAAUUUCUCAAAUUGUAUGAUUUGAGAUUUACGUCUACCUAGUGAGUUCCAGGCCAGCCAAAGCUACAUUGUGAAGCCCUGUCUCUAAUUAAAUAAAUCCAAUCAUGUUUCUAAUUAAAUAAAUCUAAACCUCCUGUCA
Long non-coding RNA from Mastomys coucha (southern multimammate mouse), 494 nucleotides. RefSeq lists it as uncharacterized. The record is from RefSeq and is a predicted model, not a curated record. NCBI's taxonomy places the organism in Eukaryota, Metazoa, Chordata, Mammalia, Rodentia, Muridae. The transcript has 3 exons.